This is a long non-coding RNA of Homo sapiens (human), 417 nucleotides long. Ensembl annotates it as long intergenic non-protein coding RNA 2640. NCBI's taxonomy places the organism in Eukaryota, Metazoa, Chordata, Mammalia, Primates, Hominidae. The record is from Ensembl.
CUGUGCUGAAAUGAUGGUGUGAGCCACUGCACCCAGCCUGUUUUUUAAGAAGUCAUUCUGCAUUCAAAAUGUGCAGCUAGCUCCCGUUCCCUACAGGACUGCUGUUCCCAACCAAGACUGUUAUGACCCAAAGUAACAGAGCUGAGUGGCUCCAUGCAGAAGUCUGUGUUCAACAUCUGUCAUGCUGGAGAUCAUUAAUGUUCAAUUGCUUCCUAUUGUCUUCAUGUCAUUCAACUUCAUUUCAUUGUCAUUGCUUCAGCUGGGGGAUUAAUCAACUAUUUAUGAGAAGACAGGACUUGGAGUCAGGGCGGUCACAAUGGGGUUAUAGUCUGAGCAAUGGUGGGGAAAGCAAGUCACGGUUAAAAGACUACUAGUUUGUGACAGUUUGUUGACAUUUUAAUAAACAUAUUUGAGAAU